AUUACUUUGGCAGAAUAGUGCCUUGAAUUUAGAUUUCAAAAAUGUGUUUAAAAUACAAGUAAUA
Molecule: transfer RNA, 64 nt
Filed under: Nallachius americanus
Lineage: Eukaryota; Metazoa; Arthropoda; Insecta; Neuroptera; Dilaridae
Description: tRNA-Leu
Source: RNAcentral